This is a long non-coding RNA of Homo sapiens (human), 451 nucleotides long. Ensembl annotates it as RNF157 antisense RNA 1. Its record names the gene RNF157-AS1. The record is from Ensembl. NCBI's taxonomy places the organism in Eukaryota, Metazoa, Chordata, Mammalia, Primates, Hominidae.
GGGAGCUGAGCACUACCCCACCCCCGAGGGGACAGUGUGUGUACGGGGACGCCCUCUCUAACAUCAUCCCCGCAGCUGGGGAGGAUCUUUUAGUGCCGAGAGAGAAGAAAACAAAUCCAUUCCACGGGCUAGGGAAUGUCGGUGAAACAACCUGGCCACACCGCACUUCUUAGAAGCAAAUAUUCUAUGGGAGAAACAAUCACAAGGGGUAACUCUAGAGCCUCAAGCACUGAAGUCAUCAACUGAGUUGGUGACACUCCAAACCCCCUUGGGCUGGGGUGCAAGAGCUGACGGACGCAGCCUUGGCGGCCACCUUCUCCUUCAAGCUCCUUGGCCAGGUGGGAGCCGUCAGGUCCACAUGCACACCUCCAACACUUCCCAAGCGAUGGCCAGCGCUAAAGCAGAAGCAAUAGGAUGACAUCUGCUGGUGCGUCUGUAUCCAGGCCGGGCA